Molecule: long non-coding RNA, 782 nt
Organism: Triticum aestivum (bread wheat)
Lineage: Eukaryota; Viridiplantae; Streptophyta; Magnoliopsida; Poales; Poaceae
Exons: 2
Source: RefSeq, a predicted model, not a curated record
CCCCUAGAUCUUGCGACGGCCGUGGUGACGUCCUCUCCCGCGGCCUCCUUCUCCGUCGCCUCGCCGCGCGCCCGGCUGCCUUCUUCCCCUCAUCUCGCCGCCUUUCUUCGUCGGCGUUUCCUGAUCCCGACAGGGGGGGAGGGGAGGGGAGUUCAAGAGGAAAGGGGGAUCCCCUUCUCUGCAAAGCGCUCUAUUUGCCGGCUACGGUGGCAGCGCUCAUGUCCUGGAGGCCAUGUGGACGACGGCGGUGAUGAGCGAGCCCAUGUGGACGACGGCAUCGGCUGUGACCUGGACGCCUCCUGCCCUUCCCCUUCCCCAUUGCAUCUUUCCUUCCCGUCUUCCCGUCCAGUUCCUUCCCCCACGCCACCGCCGCCGUUCCGAGCAUCUGCAAACUCCGUCGCCCGCCCAGAAGCAAGCAGAGCAGGGACCUGGAGAAAGCAACACAUUUGCUAAGCCUAGCUGCUUGAUCCUGAAAGAAUUUCCAGAUGCUUGUUACUCCUAGAUGCUUGACUUGGAGUAUCUUGGAGUAUUUGUUGGAGUAUGCCAUAUGCUGGAUGUUGGAGCAUUUGUCUAUAGUAUCUUGGUUGAUUGAAGAUAUUGUAAUGACCAUGUACAAGUGAACAGAGAGAUUUGUACUGGCACAUUUGUUCAGUACAAAUUCUUCGUUUCUUCUUCUUCUUAGCCCUUGUAAUGAUGAGAGAGAGAGAGAGAGAGAGAGAGCAAAUGAUGGUUGAUGAAUGAUGUAACCCCAAACCCCUUAUUGAAGAUAUUAUUUCUCUCAA